RNAcentral lists this ribosomal RNA (542 nucleotides) under uncultured bacterium. RNAcentral's name for it is "bacterial SSU rRNA". It matches the Rfam family "Bacterial small subunit ribosomal RNA", at positions 46 to 578 of the family's 1533-position model. The record is from RNAcentral.
GCCUAACACAUGCAAGUCGAGCGGUAACACAGGGAGCUUGCUCCUGUGUGACGAGCGGCGGACGGGUGAGUAAUGUCUGGGAAACUGCCUGAUGGAGGGGGAUAACUACUGGAAACGGUAGCUAAUACCGCAUAACGUCUUCGGACCAAAGUGGGGGACCUUCGGGCCUCAUGCCAUCAGAUGUGCCCAGAUGGGAUUAGCUAGUAGGUGGGGUAACGGCUCACCUAGGCGACGAUCCCUAGCUGGUCUGAGAGGAUGACCAGCCACACUGGAACUGAGACACGGUCCAGACUCCUACGGGAGGCAGCAGUGGGGAAUAUUGCACAAUGGGCGCAAGCCUGAUGCAGCCAUGCCGCGUGUAUGAAGAAGGCCUUCGGGUUGUAAAGUACUUUCAGCGGAGGAGGAAGGCGAUAAGGUUAAUAACCUUGUCGAUUGACGUUACUCGCAGAAGAAGCACCGGCUAACUCCGUGCCAGCAGCCGCGGUAAUACGGAGGGUGCAAGCGUUAAUCGGAAUUACUGGGCGUAAAGCGCACGCAGGCGG